UGCGCGGUAGCUCAGUGGUAGAGCUUUCGAUUGCAGCUCGAAGGGUCACUGGUUCGAACCCGUCUCGCGCUU
Molecule: transfer RNA, 72 nt
Filed under: Pythium insidiosum
Lineage: Eukaryota; Oomycota; Peronosporomycetes; Pythiales; Pythiaceae
Description: tRNA-Cys
Rfam family: tRNA
About the family: Transfer RNA (tRNA) molecules are approximately 80 nucleotides in length. Their secondary structure includes four short double-helical elements and three loops (D, anti-codon, and T loops). Further hydrogen bonds mediate the characteristic L-shaped molecular structure. tRNAs have two regions of fundamental functional importance: the anti-codon, which is responsible for specific mRNA codon recognition, and the 3' end, to which the tRNAs corresponding amino acid is attached (by aminoacyl-tRNA synthetases). tRNAs cope with the degeneracy of the genetic code in two manners: having more than one tRNA (with a specific anti-codon) for a particular amino acid; and 'wobble' base-pairing, i.e. permitting non-standard base-pairing at the 3rd anti-codon position.
Source: RNAcentral